AACUUUCCAAGGUGGAGAAGCUGGGUCUCUACAACCCAUUCACUCUCUCCGGCAACAUCAUGGUUAACAACGUGGAGGCUCCCUCUCACAGCGAGUGGUUCCUGGACUCCCUCUUUGAUGCCAUUGGCGCAACUGAGUACCUCCCAUAUGCAUACCACGCCAUGCUCGCUCCACUUCGCGCCAUCUACAACAUCGUCGGCAAGGAAAUCUAUGGAAAGGGUUAUGCUGCCGUCAAUUCUUGUGUCAACGUUGCUGAAUUUGGAAUGAAGCACGGAGGAAGCAUCGCUCUUGCUGGUGGAAUCGCUGGAGUUGCAACAGCAAUGCUGGCCACGAAGGCUUGAUGAAAAACCAGAAGUAGAAUAAAAUGUAAAUUUCAUUAACAUAUUUUAUGCUUUUGAUUAUUCCCCAUAUAUUCUCAAUGGUUUAUUGUUUGUUUAGUGGAUAUACCUAGAUAUUUUAGAACUUUUUACCAUCUAAUGGUUGUUAUUCCUUUAGAUUAAUCUCGUGUUUAUAAUUUAUGAUUAAAGCAUACUCUAGCUUAUCUAGCUUUUAUACCAUUAGGUUAAACUUGUGGUUGUUAAAAAAGUUCUUAAACAUGAUGGAAAGUGUAUUGUGUGGUUUAUAUGCUCAACUAGGAAAAACAUUUUCUUGUAAUACAUAAAUCAUAAUAAUUUGUUAUAAUACAAACUAAGCAAACCCAACUUUUCUAAAAUGUAAUGUGUCACAAUUUAUUAUUAUUUAUCUAAAAAAAAGGCUUGAUGUACCACAAGUAAAAUAAAAUAAAAUUUCAAAAAAUAGAAAAAGAAAAGAAAACUUUUGAUUAUUCCCCUUCUUUCUUUAUAUCCAACUCCCAAUUUUAUAUUAUAAAUGGUUCAUUUGCAUCUUGGUAGUUGAUAUACCUAAAAUAUAGUUGAAUAUUCUAGAAUAGUAAUAGUAAUUUAAUGGCUAUUAUUUAUUUAUAAUAAUUUUAUCAUUAAAUUUAAACAUGGUUAUAAUUUAUAAAAUUUUCCCAAACACCUUCUAGCUCUAACUAUUAUACCAUUAGAUAAAUCUUGUGUUUAUCAAAAACAUUCUUAAAAAUAAUAAUUUAUUAUUAUUUUUCUAAAAAUAUUAUUAUAAUGCUAUUAAAUAAUAAUAGUAUCUUUAAAUAUGAAUCUAAGUAUAUUUAUAUUUUAAUUAAUAUAUUAAAUUAAGUGAUUAGUUUCAAAAUUUACAAAAUUUGUUUCAUUAAUUUAAUGAAAAUUACUUUUGUGAGUGUUUGGAAUAUGGAAAGGGAAUAUAAAAAAUAUGCCCCAAAAACCCUAAUUUAUAUAUAGAAGCGAGUGGUUUGGAUUGAAACCAAUCCAAUGGCUACCAAAAUCCCACUAUGCUAAUAUUAAUAUACGGCAUAGUAGCCAUACACUUGGCCCUCACAUCAUCCCCUCCUCUUGGAAUAAUGGAAAACCAUCAGGGUUCUCUUGUAAACGGGCCGGGAUCUGGAGGAACGUCAAGAGGAGGCAUCGGCAGAUCUGUAAGUGGUAUUAAUUGUUCCUGAUCCUUUUGUAUGAAGUGUUUCAACUGCUGCACAUGCACAAUCUCUGGAGGAUCGGCCUGUUGGACGUCAUGCCGAACCUCAUAAACUUGUGGUCUAACUUGCCGCAACACCUGAUACGGUCAUUUCCACUGCGCAAGAAGCCCCUUAGAUAAACCACGUACUGUAAGAUGGGGAAAAUGGACUAACACCAAAUCAUCCACUUUGUACUCUGCAGGUGAACGAUGAUAAGAGUUGUAGCGCCGUUGUUGUCCCACUUAUACGUAACCUAAGUGUUCGGCAGACUCAGUUUGGACAAGUGGAAGAAUGCUUGUCAAAUACUGAUCCCACGACCUAACAUCGGCAGCUCGUGGCAAUUGCGAAGGUAAACCUAGCUUUGUUGAUAAUAUUGGAUCAUGACCAUAUAGGAGUUUAUAUGGUGAAGCACCAACAAAACUCUACACCCCUGUGACAUAUGCAUAUUGAAGAGACGGCAAAUAACCAUCCCAAUUAGAAUGUUGAAAGUUCACAUACUUCGCAAUUGUAGCGCACGUGGUUUUUACCCUUUAUCCUAUGGUGAUUUACCAUAGGAUAACACCAUGAAGCAGAACCUAAACCCUCUUUGUGCCACGUGACAGAUGCCAUGUGUCAUAUGCCACGUGUCCAAAGGNNNNNNNNNNNNNNNNNNNNNNNNNNNNNNNNNNNNNNNNNNNNNNNNNNNNNNNNNNNNNNNNNNNNNNNNNNNNNNNNNNNNNNNNNNNNNNNNNNNNNNNNNNNNNNNNNNNNNNNNNNNNNNNNNNNNNNNNNNNNNNNNNNNNNNNNNNNNNNNNNNNNNNNNNNNNNNNNNNNNNNNNNNNNNNNNNNNNNNNNNNNNNNNNNNNNNNNNNNNNNNNNNNNNNNNNNNNNNNNNNNNNNNNNNNNNNNNNNNNNNNNNNNNNNNNNNNNNNNNNNNNNNNNNNNNNNNNNNNNNNNNNNNNNNNNNNNNNNNNNNNNNNNNNNNNNNNNNNNNNNNNNNNNNNNNNNNNNNNNNNNNNNNNNNNNNNNNNNNNNNNNNNNNNNNNNNNNNNNNNNNNNNNNNNNNNNNNNNNNNNNNNNNNNNNNNNNNNNNNNNNNNNNNNNNNNNNNNNNNNNNNNNNNNNNNNNNCACUUAGGAUUCCGUCCUUAUGCUUAUCCGGCCAAGUACAGAUGCAAAGUCCAGUUUACUAACACUUGAACAAGAGGGGCUGAUAAAGGGUCCAGCAAUACCGACCUCCUGCCAUCGUGGCAAUAAGGUAAGAGUGUCUGUAAGGACUGGUCGACAGGUAACUUUCGAUACCCGAAAGUCACAUGCGCGACACUCUCCCCCCCUAGGGAAGAUCGACGUCCUCGUCGAUGCAUACUCGAGUCUAGAAUACCGUCAAGAAAACAACUCCAGAAAAAGUUCACGGUACUCACACUAUGUGAGAAAUGCACCAACUUAAAUGAGUUAGGAGGCAACCUCUUUGUCUAACGCGGAUGUGCUACCAGCUCAGACACCUUCCAACCGUCGCUGACAAGGAAAUGACCAACGGAGUCAGCCACCCUUGCUGCUCUGGGAGUCACCCAGCUCACAAAAGUGUGAUAUGCCCUGCCCGCAGAGACAUAGAGAGAGGAACUAGAGGCCCCAACCCUCAUGAGCAAAGAAACCAAACCCGUUGGUAAGGUUUAGAUAGACUACUGUAAACAGGCAGUUAGAGUUGUUUACACAGUCACGCCCUUUCAACGAAAUAAGGAACAUCGACAGAGAGGCGGGUGAUGUGACCAGUCGACAGUAGCUACCCCAUGACUAGAGAUUUCACCAUGCACACAAAGUGCCGAAGCCAGUCUGCCCAUUACUGGCCCAAACUCAAAGAACAAUAGAUGGACAAUAUCAAAGUUAUAGACAAUGAUAUCUUAGAGUCGGAAUUAUCAGUGAAUAAAUCUUAUAUUAGAACACACAAGUAUUCCAAGUAUGUUAUCAUCUAAUAAACUAGUAUUAUAGGAUAGGAACCACCAAGAUCACUAUCAUUGGAAAACAUAGGAUUAACCAUCCAACAAAAUUCAAUAGCAAGUAUAUCAUCAAGUAAACUCAAUGAUAAAACUUAACUACCGAAGAUGGUAGACAGGAUGCCAAACAACUUACUAAAGAUAACUCAAAGAACACAAAGUAUCAUUGACUAACAAGCACAAUACUCGCGAAUGUAUCACCCGAAGGAAAUAACAUCCUAAUCUAUAAGAACUAACUCGGGCAAUAAUCAACAGAACAAAAUGAAUGUUGCAAAGUAAGCAAAUAUAGUGUUCAUGCCAAUCAUUGCACUAGCCAAUCCAGAUAGAUCCCAGCCAAUAACACCAAGGAACUCAAGUUGCCUAAGCAAGUGUCAGCAACAUCCUACUGAUGUCUCAAUCCCAAGAGACCAAACCAGAGCAAACCACAAAUAAUAUAUGGUAUUGCGAAAAGCCAUAAGCUAUCAAAGAUAAGAACUAACCAUAAUGAAAGAUCAUCAAAAUUAUCCCAUCAAUAAAGAGAUGCAUAAUCACCAUCUAAGAAGGAAUCCACCAUCCUGAAUAACGGCAAACCAUUCUAUACCAACAAUAAUUAAGCAAAACCUUUUUGACAAGGAUAAUCAACUAUCCCAGAUAAUAGUCAAUCAUCACCAAUGAUUGCUAGAUGCAAAAGCCAACUUCAACAUCGAAGCUAAUAAGUCAAAAUGUCUUCCCCAACAACUUCUAACAAAUGGAACAACGAGCAUAAAACUCAAAGAACCAAAAGUUCGAAGAAGUCUAUAGCCAAGUCUUUCCUAACAAUGAUCACAAGUCUCACAUGAACUAACUUUAAUGCUAAAGAAGAAAUUAUGGUGCAACCCACAACAUUUUCCUCAACACAUCCAUAACCUAAACUUCAUAAUGCAAAGCUAAUGAAGAGCAUACUUGCAUCAAUCUAAAAGCUAAGCAUAACAAAGUUAUGCUCGACAAGUGAUCACCAAACAAUCCUCCAUGAAUCCAUCUAUAACAAGACGUAACUCACUUCAUAACAAACACAAGAAGAACCAUCAAUGAUCGAUAUAUUCCAACUCAAAUCCAAUAAGGAUUCAAACAUUCUAAUAUCAAUCACUAACUCUUCUGCUUGUAGAGUUAGCAUCGUCCAUGACUGAAUACUUUUCAAGGAAAAGCCAAAGCUCAACCUUUACUAAAUAAUCUCGUCUAGAACACAACUAACUCAACUUGUCACUCAGUUUGUUUGAAUGUCANNNNNNNNNNNNNNNNNNNNNNNNNNNNNNNNNNNNNNNNNNNNNNNNNNNNNNNNNNNNNNNNNNNNNNNNNNNNNNNNNNNNNNNNNNNNNNNNNNNNNNNNNNNNGAGACAUCUCAUUUCACUGAAAUCUCAAUAUCAACAAUGUCAAUGACAAGGCAUCACUUCAAUGCCAUCAACACCAGAACAAAACGAGAAGAAAGCAUGAGUGUAUCACCACUCAAAACUCUCUAGCAACUAAGCUAACCAAGGUCGAAGAUACUUUACUCAAUAUCCGAGACCAAUUCUUCAACAUUACUCAGGUACAGAUAACACAUCAUCAAGGAGUGAUUCACCACGUCCAGACUCAAUGAAAUCCAACACCACAAACUAAAUGCAACCAAAUGAUAUCGACAGAGGUAGAGUCGAUAUGCCAACAUGGAAAACCCAUGUAAGUCUAACGACACGAUCCUCCGCAACCCCAUCCGGUAAAGCAAGCCCAUCACUGCUAAAUCAUCAUCAAGCGAAGCAAGUGUCAAAAGCCUUUGACAAAGUCUACAAGUAAUCACUAGUCGCAAAGCAACUAACAAUCACUCUUUCAACUUGCCUUCACAAGACCCAAACACUAAACUCACGUCAUCGAGUCAUACACUUGUCCAACAUAAAUGUGAUACCUCCGGUAUGAGAUAAAAGUACAUAGACAAGCACAAACCAAAUGACCACUCAAAUCCAACUCAACCACGAUAAGCCCACCAAAGCAUUUAGCCAAUAGCUCUGAGCAUGCCUUGAAGAGGCUAGCUAUGCAUGAUCAAUACUCAGCUGAAACUAAAGUGAAGACCAUGAGAUGGAUCCAUAUCGGUACACAACCUCCUCAUGGACAAAGCUAUAAUACGGGUACCAACAUCUCAAACUCAAAGAACUAAGUUGAACAUCACCAUCCUCAGCCAAGACACAAGGCCACCAAGACCAAGUCAAGAUCAGUGAGAGCUCACUACUCUCAUAGAGUCUAACAAAAUGCAAAGUGCAACCUGCCACCAAGCAUAACGCUACAAANNNNNNNNNNNNNNNNNNNNNNNNNNNNNNNNNNNNNNNNNNNNNNNNNNNNNNNNNNNNNNNNNNNNNNNNNNNNNNNNNNNNNNNNNNNNNNNNNNNNNNNNNNNNNNNNNNNNNNNNNNNNNNNNNNNNNNNNNNNNNNNNNNNNNNNNNNNNNNNNNNNNNNNNNNNNNNNNNAGUUUGUAUUGGCUUUCGACAAACGGAAUGGUUUUUGAGCAAAGUGAUAACAGAUCAGCCAUUAGAAAAGUCUAAGAAAAUUUGUGGAAAAAUCUUUCCAUUCUAAAGAAAGAAUGACUCUCAGUCUAGGAAUGCAAACUUUCAAGACUCAACCAAUUUCCUCCUACCAACAACUUCACAUAGGUUCACCUCAACACAAAUUCUCAUGACCCAUAGUAUGCUUAAGCCUCGAACAUCUUUACCCAUCUAACCGAUAUCUAACACCGACAUCCGCAAAAUGCAAAGUGAACACCCAAGGCUUGAUCACGAAGACCACAUCUUCGGAUAUCCAUAUUGCAUUAACACUCUUCUUCAAUCACCUUCAAAAUUCAAUGUGAAGUCAAAACACUAACAAGAAAAAUGACAUGAAAAAUCAAGGUUUAAGGAAAAUUCCUCAUCACUCGAAAUAACAAUGCCACUUCCACUAACACCAGUGCUAGCAAUGUCAAUGCCCCAACUACACACCUUCUCCAUCCAACAAUCUACUCCAAGUGCUAACGGAUCAACAGAUGAGCUAUAGCAAAUGAAUGCUACAACCCAUUUCUAACACCUAAUAGGCAAACUCAAAGAAACAAGGUACCAACAUAAGCUUAGUAUAAUGGACCAUCACUGAGAAUCCAGUCAAAGCUACUACAAUGCUACUUCGUGCAAGUAGACUAGCUUCACUAUCAAGCACUUUGGGGUUGAUCAUCAUUUACCCAAGCAACUUCGUAAACACAUUGCUCACUAUCACAUGGAUAUGAUAUAAGUAUCACAAUGACUUGAUCAUCAAUCAAGCAACACUAUGAGCAAUGCCCAUGUCAUUACUUCAAAGGUUUAUGUGAAUAUCAAGUGUCAACUCGAUUCGACAAAAUGCAACAUAAAUGCCACACCCCACCAAUAGAGAUUUAGAACACCCGACACCACUAACUUUUGUUUACAUCACAGACAAACUCAUGCCACUCUCUUUCUGACCAAUCUCAAAACUAAUCCAACACCAAGCUACACAAGGAGCAAUAGCAAGGUUCCCCGGAAAAGAAUUAAGCAUUGCAACCCAAGUCUUCCAAUAGCAAGCCUAGACAAAAUGGUAUAGCACUUCACCGCUAUCCAUCCCACAACUCACCAUUGUAAUGCCACCAUCUCCAACAUGCAUCAAGAUAGGGACUCUUGAUUGCAUGAUGUGAACACAAGCAAUGAGUUAACACCUCGUUGCAAAUCAUCUCUCCAAGAAGAGAAAAUGAUUUACGUAUUUGAUCCUUCGUCGCCGAUGACUCUCGUUUCGGUCUCAUCUUUGACCAAACCUCAAGCUUGCUUUCGCACUGCCUUCAGUUCAAUCGAAGAAAAGUUUAUGAGAGAGCACGGCCAUGACUACUUGAACCAAUAGACUAAUUCCUAUAAUCUUGAUUGAUCCACUUGUAACCAUGCCUAGGAAGGAUCUACUAGUGCCAUGCUAAACAGCUACGGGCUAGCCUAUUUGCCACUCAUAGCAAACCCAGGGAGGUUUGCUUUCACCCAUGGUACAUGGAACAACUUAUGGAACCACUGGAACCAAUGCGAAGUCUUUGCACCCUAACGUGUACCACUCAGAUCAUCGUUUUCAUCUCUGCGUAUGCAACGAGACUAGUUGCCCAAUCUCAUUGGAUAAUACUCGCCGAGACUCAUUCUCUGAUACCAAAUGUAGCGCACAUGGUUUUUACCCUUUAUCCUAUGGUGAUUUACCAUAGGAUAACACCACGAAGCGGAACCUAAACCCUCUUUGUGCCACGUGACAGAUGCCAUGUGUCAUAUGCCACAUGUCCAAAGGACCGUGGUGUGGAACCUGAGGUUUAGGGCCUUGGGCCACUGAACGAAGGAACGGUGCCAAACUCCCAAACAUGGAGCCAAGGAGUGACGGAACCGAACCAUGAAGCAACUCCCGAGCGUACAGCCCAAGGAGCAAAGGGACAGGAGCCCGGAGUGACUUGGAACAGUCCUAGAGCAACCAGCAUCCCAAUGCCAGGACUAACAUGCAAAAUGGAGCCAAAUGAAGUCUGGCGCUAUUUCGGCAUACCGGUGGCCUAACGUGAGGAUAUGGGUACUCCACCAACUAGCAUGGAAUGGAACUUGGGCUUAGACCCAAGCCAGACACAGAACAAGGACAGGCACGCAAGCGGGAGCUAGACUAUGCCUCAAGUUGGUCAGCCAUGCCCGACCUACCCACUAUCCCUACUAUACAUUUGGAACCCCCCACAGCCCCCCCCCCCCCCCCCCCCCUUGAGGAACACAUGCUUUGGGCUUUCACCCCAAGCCUCCCUUAGUAUCAGGAGUUAGUCUCUGGGACAAGCUCGAAACUUACUAAAUAUGGAAUGUUCUUAGAUUGUGAAUUUGGACACGGGACGAACACCAUUGUGUUCAGGCCGAUCUCUACAUUCCGUAGAUGUGCCAAAUGAGCAAAUCUGGACACUUUCCAUAAAUAGCAUUUGGGACCGAAAUGAGACUAACACAAAGGGCAUGAUAGCGAGGGUGUUUGGCAGACACAGUAAGCUAUCAUGUAGCGAUAUUGAGGGACCAAUCUCAAUACGCGAGGGUUCUUGUCAAGCCAGUGCAAGAUAGAGCAAAAGAGAACUAAAAAGCCAAGCCAAGUAUGCUUGGCUGAAUAGACACUUAGGAAUUCCGUCCUUAUGCUCAUCCGGCCAAGUACAGAUGCAAAGUCUAGUUUACUAACACUUGAACAAGAGGGGCUGAUAAAGGGUCCAGCAAUACCGACCUCCUGCCAUCGUGGCAGUAAGGUAAGAGUGUCUGUAAGGACUGGUCAACAGGUAACUUUCGAUACCCGAAGUCACAUGCGUGACAGCAAUGAUCCCUUUGAAUGUCCGAACGAGCCGUUUCACCAGACUGUCUAAUUGUGGAUGAUAAGCACUCGUGAAAGUGUGGCGUAUCCCCAACCGAGAUGUCAAAACAUGAAAUGCCUCAACCAUAAAUGUGGGACCAUUAUCCGAAAAAAUCCGCUCUAGACAAGAAUGCUAGAACACCACUCGAUUGAGGAGGAAGUAUCCAACAGCAGCUGCAAAGGCACUAGCAAGAGCACCAACUUCCACCUAACAAGUCAAGUAGUCAGAAGCAAUAAUUACAUAUUCAUUGCCAACAGUCGACUAUGGAAAAGGUCUCAUAAGAUCAAACGCCACCAACUCAAACGGACAGGAAACUACAAUUGACUCUAACCAUCCUUCCGCAACACGAGGGGGAGUAUUAUGAGCUUGGCACCAAAUGCAACUAUGCACAUACCGGAUAAUAUCACGUCGCAUCUUUGGCCAAUAGAAAGACUUGUGCAACUUCUUGAUUACAUGACGAUGUCCCAUAUGCCCACCUAGAACAGAAGAAUUAUGGUAGGCAUGGAGAAACCGCAGAAUAAAGACAGAAGGCACCACUAGCCAUAAAUGAUCAUCAGGAUCCAUCCCCAUAAAAUAAAGAAGGCCGUCGUCAAGGCGAUAUUGAGAAUGUAAAUGCUGGAAAGGCAAGUCAUCAGCAAGUGAUGCAGGAUUCUCAAACCCAUCUCGAAGCCUUCAAAUCCACGGCUCAAUCUUUUGAGCCUCACAAAUCUCAUCAAGAGAAGGUAGAUCUUGCUCUAUGCCUUGUGGACAUUGAACGUCAAGUAUAGCAACCGCCGAUAGCAUAGAAUCCUUGUCUAAAAAAUCCAUAGAUGCAUGAGCAACAGGCUCGUCAGAAACAUGAUAAGAGAGUGGAGAAGGAAGAGGAGCUCGAAAAAGGGCAUCAGCAUCAACCAUAGAACUCCUUGGGCAAUGAAUAACAUUAAAAUUAUAUAUCUGAAGCUUCAAAGCCCAUCGAGCAAUACGACCAAUCAGGUUCUUCUACUUCAAUAAUGAAGUAAUAGUAGCAUGGUCACUUUCAAGUAAUGUCCGAGAACCAUGUAAAUAUACAUGAAGUUUCUCGAAACCCCAGACUGUCGCUAAACACUCCUUUUCUGUCAUGGAGUAGUUUAUCUCUGCUAGUUGUAAUGUAUGGUUUAUAUACGCAAUGGGAUGGCGCUGACCAAGCACACUCGAGCUCUCUUGCAUCAACACACCUCCAACACCAAUAUCAAAAGCAUCCACACGCAAAAUAAAAGGUCGAGUGUAGUUAGGAUAUGCCAAAACCGGAGGAGUCGUCAAUAGCUUUUUGAGAUCCACAAACGUCUGCUCACAAUCCGAAAACCAGAUGAAAGAUGAUAAUAAUGACUUCAGCAACCCUCGCAACGGUGCAAUGCGAUCAGAAAAAUGAUCCACAAAACAACUGAGAUACUACACCUUGCCUAAGAAGCACUGCACAUCAUUCACACACUUCAGAGUAGGGAACUUUAGAACAACCACAAGUUUGUUAGGAUCAACUUGCAAACCCUCACGAGAAAUAUGGUACGCAAGAUAAGUUGUGUCUUUGGACCCAAACAUGCACUUCGACCGCUUCAGCUUUAAACCAACGUCGCGAAACCAAUCCAACACUUUACAAACAUCACGAAUAUGCUCCUCCCACGUCUCUUCCGAGUGGAUCAAAACAUCAUCAAUGAAGUCAAUAAUCACUUCUGGCAUAUCGCAAAGAACCUCGUCCAUUAUCCAUUGGAAAGUUGCUGGAACAUUGUUCAAACCAAAUGGCAUCACCAAGAACUCGUACAAACCAAAUGGGGUACGAAAAGCAGUUUUAGGAUUAUCUUCUUUGGCCAUCAGUACUUGCCAGUACUCAGAAGCAAGAUCCAGCUUGGUGAACCAAUGACUUUGCCCCAGACGAUCCAAGAGAUCAACAGUGUGAGGAAGAGGGUACACAUUCAAGAUCGUCACUUCGUUUAAUGAACAAUAGUCAAUGUAGAAACGAAUACUCCCAUUAGGUUUUGUCACAAGAUAAGGUUCACAUGCCCAUACCUCUGCUUCCAUUACUUUUGUUCCUCCACUAUUUCCUCUUAUGUUUUCGUCUUGUUCUGUUCUUCCUUAUUCUGAUCCCUCCAAUAAUCUUUGUGUUGCAACGGUUGACCAGCUCAUGAAAGAGUAUUCUAAUCUCUUUGAAUUUGACCUAUCCUCUAGGGCCAAAAUUGCCACACGUCAUCCGAUUCCAACCGGGAUGCUCGUCCAAUCAAGGUUCCUAUUCAAGGAGAUCAAGAUUUUACUUGCAAACGUAAAGGAGAUGUUGGACAAGGGUGUUAUUCGGAAGUUGCAAAGUCCUUGAAGUAGAGGGAUGAAGAAGUAUGGAAGUAAGAGGAAUGGAUAAAAUAUAAGGAAGUAUGAGACAAGGGGGAGAAGCCUCAAAGUUACACUUGGCAUGAUUGUGCUACAACUAAUCCAUACCAAGAAUGAGAUCAAAAGUUUGACUCAACACCACCCCCAAUGAUUGCAAUUCAAGCUCGAGAUCGCCCAUAUGCACAACCAAGUCUGCCUCAUCCCGUGAACAUGCAUGUGUACGGCUGUUGCCAUAAAGAAUGAAAACUGGUUUUGCCGCACGACGCAAGUGUAGACGGUAACGUAUGGCAACAGGUCGAGCAAUAGAAGAUAAACUCGAAUCUAUAUCAACUAACACGGAGAGAAUAAUAGGAGACCUCUUGUUAUAAAAAUGAGCUUGGAAAGUAAACACUGGAUGAACGGGUGUCGAAUGAACCCCUUGAUGAUACUCCCAAAAGAAAGAUGGAGGGGUCACUAACUUAUUCGCGCAAGGUCCCUCAGUUACUCGCGCGACUCUUUAUUUCCCAGAUACAUCUCAGUGUCCAAACCUUCCAUUACAAUAGCACCAACGGGAUGUUGCUGACGCCAAGGUCUUCAUCUAGGAAAUGGAGGUCGCCAAUCCAGAAAACCUCGACAACACCAAUAAGUAUGACUAAUUUCAUCAUACGCCCAGCAACAAACAUCACGGCCAUGGCCACGUCCUCGCCCUUAUCCUUGGACUCGAGCAGCAGGAACAUCAAACUCCAUUGGAACAAGACUAUCACCUAUAGGAAGUGGAACUGAAGGACGUGCAGCAAGAAGUGGAAAAGGUGACGUCUCAUAAUGUUGUGCCAAACGAAGAGCAUCGUCAAGGGUGGCGAGAGCAAGUGCAUGCACAAGUCCGACAAGAUCUUGACGAAGUGUUGGCCACAAUAUUCGUAGCUUGAUCCGCUCUGACAUACUUGGCUUUGCAUGAAGCAAAAGACUUCAAAAACGAACACUAAAUUGCAUCACCGACUCAAAUGGCCCUUGGCAAAGACGAUGCAAUUGUUGGAAGGCAUCAUCACAGUCAUCGGCAUGUCCAAAGGUGCAUUUGAAGAUGUCCAAGAGAACACUCCAAUCCUUACGAGUGGCUGCGCUUAAACAAUUGUACCACUGCAAUGUCGUCCCUUGGAGACACGUGGGAAACUCACGCAAACAUUAAGCAUCAUCCCAAGAAUGAUAUGUGGCAAUCAUCGUGAAGUGAUCGAACCAAUGGUACACAUCAUCCCCAGGAUUCCCGCGAAAGAACUCCAGCCAAAUGCGAGGAUUGGCACCAAGAGCAGGAGGAGUUGUACCCUAUGCUAUGAACACCACCAUUAACUGAGUUUGGUUGUUCAAUUGCAAACACAUAACAUUAAGCAAUUGUACCAACUGCUGCUCCAGAGUCAAAGGAGGAGAUUGUUGAUCAGCCAUGAAGACGAAUGAAAAAGAAAGAGCAAAAGAAGAGAAAUGACAAAAAGCUAGAAAGAAAUGGUAAAUCUAGACAAUGCAAAAAGCUAAAUCUAAACCAAAAGAAAGAACAAAAUAAAGGAGAUGGAAAAAGCUAGAUUUAGAUAAUGCAAAAACUAGAUCUAAACCAAAAUCCCAAAUCCAAGCACUCCUUAGGGACAAUCAAAGGUGCCCUUCAACUCCACUAAUGUGAGUGCUUAGAAUAUAGAAAGGAAAUUUAAAAAUAUGCAUAUCAAUUAGCCCAAAAGCCUAGUUUAUAUAUAAGAGUGAGUGGUCCAGAUUGAAACUAAUCUGACGGCUACAAAAAUCCCACUAUGCUAAUAUUAGUAUACAGUAUCAUAGCUGUACACUUGGCCCUCAUAGUUUAAUAUAAAAUAAAAUAAAUAUAGUAUUAUGAGGUAUGGCUACAGAUCUAAGGCCCAAGUACAUAGCUAUGAAUAUGAAGUCUAAAUGUAUGGCUACAAUACUUUAUAUUAAUAUUAUUUAUAUAAUAUAAUAUUUAUUACGUGCUGGGAUUUUGAUAGCUAUUAGAUUGGUUUCAAUCAAGACCACUCAAUCUUAUAUAUAAAUUAAAGGUUUUAGGCUAAUUAGAUAUAUAAAUUUCUAUAUUCCAUACACUCAUAUUGACAAAGUUGAGGGGCAGUCUUGAUUGUUUUUGAGGAUAUAUUUUUAUUUUAGAUCUAGUUUUUGGUUUAGAUAAUUAAUGUAGCUGUUUAAUGUUAUAUGGUUGAAACUAAACAAUUAACUUCAGUUGAUGGUGACAUUCAUGGCAAAUAGUGCAAAUUUUCUUACUUUUUUUACCCAUCUUUAUGUCUGGCCAAAUGUUUUCUAUAGAAAUCCCAAGAAUGAUAUUAAUCACUUUAAAAUGAUUGCCAAUUAUCAUUCUUGAAAUGAUAUUUAAUGUUUGCAAUGGUUUCCCAUAUGUCUCCAAGAAAUAUUGUUGUAGUGGUACAAGAGUUUAAGUGUGGAACCUCCUCCUAGAUGUCUUCAAGUAUGCAUUUCAAAAUGCUGAUAAUUGUGAUGAUGUUUUCUAACAAUUGCAUCAUUUUUGUCAAGGACCAUCUAAGUUAAUUAUACAAUAUAAUAUUUGAAUCUAGAGCCUCUUACUUUAUGUAGAGCUUAAGUAAAGAAAAAUUAGAAAUGUUUUCAAAAGAAAUAUAAAAAUGAUUUGCUACACUCUUUAAAUGUACCAAUGCUUUGUUUGUUUAAUAGUAGUGCUUAUUUUUUAUUAAUCUAGUUGAUUGAUAGAAUUUCUAAAUACAAGAUUAAAUUUAUUACACGUUAACCAUUAAAUGUUCUAGCAUUAAAUGUUAGAAUAUCCUAGAAUAUUCAAAUAUAUUCUAAAUAUCUACUACCAAAUUUAAAUGGGGACAGAGUUCCUUCAAGAUUUCCAAAGACAAUUCUAGGUAACUUAAUAUUUAAAAGGCCAAGUGUAAAUGGACAUCUGUAUUAUCUCAAUCAAACAAGUGAUAACCAACUUUCCAUUAUCCAAACAAACAUCCAUAAAACAUUUAUUAAAAUCAUGCAAAUGGAACCUGCCCAAGGCCUACAACUGGACAGCCCAUGUGCCUUCAGCCAUUAUCACUUUAUUGUUAUAGAUAGAAUUAUAAUAAAAAAAGUGUAAAGAAUAAAUAGAAAUUUCUAUGUUGUACUUAUUGAGUUUUUUCAAGUAAUCUACAUAUAGGAGGAGCUUGAACUAAGACGUAUCUCAUUUUAAUUUAAUUCUUAAUCUAGAUUUAUACUUAUCAUUAUAUUACCCUAAACCGUAAAUAUCCAAGAAUAUUUAAGAUAUUGUUUAAGACCAUAUCACAUUACCAUUCAAAUCUAACAAUUUUGUGGAGAUGUUUUUCAUAUCUCCAAUAACUUUUGACAGUGCAUAAGCAGCAAAGAAAUAUCUAACUUCUAACCAGUUUUCAGCUUCUGGACAUAUCACACUUAGAUCAUCACUGAAGUUGAACCCAAUUUUUGCUAUAAAAUAUCGAUUCCUAAACAUAAAUAUUUAGAUAAUUAAAUAUAAAAAUAAAAAACUCACAAAGUAUGAUGAUGAAAAAUUGCCAAAUAAUCAUCCAAUCCAGCCAACCUUGAAUCUGUAGAAAAAAUAAAAACUGUUUCUAAGAAAAUAUAAAAAGUUAUCUACUGACCUGACUCAGAAUACUUAAGGCUCAUCCCAAGUGCUAUACUUCUUAUAUGUUGAAGUUCAAAUUCAGUAGUUUUAAGAAUCCUAGCUGUUUGUAAAGCUUCCAGCACUUCCUAAAAAACAUAAAAGAAUAAAAUUUAUAAGAAAAUUCAAAUGAUAUAAUAUAAUACCAUGAUAGGAAUGUUGUACAUUGAUUUCCUACUUUGGAUCAAUGUAGACAGUUUAGUCCCAGGGUCCUUUUGUAAAUGCCGCUCUGAAAGUACAAAAACAUUUUAGAUUAAAAGCUAAAAAUAUUUGCUUGCCAAGAAAGAUCCUAAACAUCGCAUGUGUUGCCCAUCUCAUCACGUCGUUAGCUAAGCAAUUUGGAUUUUCACAAAGCAUCAUUGUAAGGCCACCACACUUGGUUUUUGAGCACGGAAUGUAUUUUGCAUUAGCAGCCAGCACAGCAGUGGAGAAUAAACAUUCUCCAGCCUUAGUCUGUGAAAGAACAGGAGUAAGCAUCACAGAAACGAUACUGAUUUACCUGAUAUUCUGGCAUGACAAGAAAAGUGAUUUACCUUAGAUUUUGGCUCGAGCAGCAUUGUGUCCUGAGAAUUGGUGACCUUGUCCAAUGUACCCCCACGAUCCUGUAAAAAAAUGAAAUGGAAUUAAACGUCACGAGUAAUAAGGAAGAAUGAUUUACUUGCGACUUGAGCAACAUCAUCUCUGUUAUUCCCUCUGAAUGCAUUAUGUCACAUACGGCCGCGUCCUUGGCCACCCUGCCCUGGACACCAAGCUUGUCCCAAAGACGAUCGUCAAAGACUGCCUUGGCAGGGACAAGCUUGGUGCCAGCCACACACGGCAGCACGUCGCGUAGAGCAUCUUCAGCGAAAAAGAGGCCCAUCUUUCUAUUGAUGCCAAUACCGCGGAGAUCCACCACGACGCACUUUCUGAUCCCGAUCGCGUCCACAGCGUCCAGCUCCUUGACAGGAUCCUCUCCACGGUCAUGAGACGCCUGGACGAACUUCCUGGCCGACAGUGUCAUGGGCAUGCCCCGGAAGUCGUCGUAGUUGACGACCCAGUCCAGAGAGCCAUACUGCAAUGCCUUGGUGGGAACCGCCAGAAGGAUGUAGCCAGUGGAGACCCGAUUCUGCCAGAUGGAUUCCUUAUAGACGAGGACUUGUUUAGCAUCAAGCUCUCCUAAAGUUCCAUCGAUCACGAAUUCCGCCGGAGGACCCCGACACCGCAGGCCGAGCUCAAACGUGGAAAUGCAGCCCACGGCUUCGAUCCUCCUGAUCUGGCAUGGCUCCAGCGGCGUCAUUGAAGGCUCCAUUUCGUUGUCGUACAAGUAGGCUGGAAUGCUCCAAGGCGCUCCCCAGUAAAGGGCAUUUGCAUGUGUACGACGCUGCUUGGGGCAGAUGUUUCCAUGAGCGUAGCUCAGGUGAUCAAGCAACGUCGUGUCGGGGCAGCCGCAUGCAGUCAACUGCCGGUUGUAGCAGAUAUCGCAGAAGAGGAACAAGGAGGUGGUGGUGUUAUCAUAGACGAGCUUGAGAGGAGGAGCAGGAGUACGAGGCCGAGCUCGAACCCGAGCUUGAGUUUCCACGAGCGUGCCGCAUCCGCGGGCAACUCCUGCACCCACAAGCUAAAUGUUAGCUGCGCUCUUGCGCUCUUCUACUCACUCACGUCCAAAAAGCCGCCGCCAGAACAUGCCGCCCAACCAGGAGCAAGAGUUUAUCUGCGAGUGUGCUGGGCAGAUCCACUUAUCCGCGAGUGUGCUAGGCAGAUCCACCGAUAGCUACCACCCUAGACACUUUUAGGGCAAGGUUCUUAGAAUAUUCCUUGAAACUCCAUCUAUAUAAAAAGUUAAUCUUUAUAAUGAACAUUUAAUUUCUUUAGUGAUCAAUGAUGCGGCAUCUCAAAUAUGUACUUAGAAUUAAAUAAUUCUUGCUAUCAAAGUUUUAGGAUCACCAACUUGAUCCGUUAGCCUCGUGUCAUAGGCACUCGUUUGUAGUAUUUAACAUCGGUUCUAGAGCUCCUUUUCCUAUCUUUCUAGGCUUCCAUAGUGUAGAGUUCUCUAUGGCUCACACUUUUCUCUUUGCUACUUCUCUCUUCGCUGUUCUUGCUAGCGCUGUUCUAGCUACCAACACCAACAACUCAUGUUUCCCAGGUAAGACUCUGCAAGCGAUUUUACAACCAGUCACAAGCUUUAUGUUCGCAGGCGAUGCCACCGUCCAAAUGUAUAACGGCGACCUCAAACUCAUGAGAGAUCUCGAAGUUGGAGACAAGGUAUUGUAUUGCUCUUAAGUUUCUCGAAAGCCCAUCUAAACGUGCCAGAUCUAAAGGUUGCAGUGAGCAAAAACGUGUUCUCCGAUGUCUACGCAUUCGGCCACAAGGACGCCGAUGUGAUCUCCGAGUUCAUCCAGGUCCACACCGCCUCAGACAUGAUCGAGCUUAGCGAGGGCCACUUCAUCCCAGUCGACGCCAAGGGAAAGCUUGUGUACAAGCGAGCCAAGGAUCUCCAGGUUGGAGAAACUCUCUGGGGAUCAUCUCAAAUCACUGGUAACAUCAUACUUCUUUUGAGACUUUGCUCUUACUUUUGACAAUUAUAGAACUUUCCAAGGUGGAGAAGCUGGGCCUCUACAACCCAUUCACUCUCUCCGGCAACAUCAUGGUUAACAACGUGGAGGCUUCCUCCCACAGCGAGUGGUUCCUGGACUCCCUCUUUGAUGCCAUUGGCGCAACUGAGUACCUCCCAUAUGCAUACCAGGCCGUGCUCGCUCCACUUCGUGCCAUCUACAACAUUGUUGGGAAGGAAAUCUAUGGAAAGGGUUAUGCUGCCGUCAAUUCUUGUGUCAACGUUGCUGAAUUUGGAAUGAAGCACGGAGGAAGCAUUGCUCUCACCGUUGGAAUCGCUGGAGUUGCAACAGCAAUGCUGGCCACGAAGUCUUGAGCAAAAAUCAGGAGUAAAUAAGAGAGAAAUAAUCACAAUCCAGAUCAAGUCAAUGUAAAUCUCCAGAACAAGAACAAAAGAAAUGAGUGAAGAAACUGUGUGAUGUCAAACAAAAGCUUCAUUUCAUGACAUGCAUCACAAAGAUGCAUAGAUGUUUUCCAAGUUUUUCAAAUGUAUAAGAGGUUCUAAAUGUAUAAUAAGGAUAGUGGGUAAGUCGGGCAUAGUUGACUAACCUAAGGUAUAGUUUAGCUUUUGUUUGUGUUUUUGUCAUUGUUUUGUGUCUGGAUUGGGUCUAAGCUUAAAUUUCAUAUUAUGUUAGUUGGUGGAGUAUUUAUAUCCUCGCAUUAGACUACUAGUAUGCUGAAAUAGUAUUAAAUUUCAUUUGGCUCCAUUUUACAUGUUAGUUCUAGCAUUGGGAUGGUAAAUGCUCUAAUGUUAUUUUAAGUUGCUUCACAUUCCUAUCCCUUCACUUUUUGUGCUGUACAUUCAAGAAUCCGUUCUAUGCUUUAGUGCUAUUACCCUUUAACCUUAUCUUAGGAGUUUGGCACUAUUCCUUCAUUCAAUAGUCUAAGGCCCUGAAACUCAAGUUCUACACCAUUGUCCUUGGGAUACAUGGCAUGUGAUAUAUAGCACAUGUGCUUCAUGGUUAUCAUAUGGUAAAUCAUCAUAGGAUAAAAAGGUAAAAAUCAUGUGAUAUAAAUUUUUAUAUUCCAUGCACUCACAUUGAUGGAGUUGAAGAGUAGCUUUGAUUGUCUUUGAGGAAUGCUUAGAUUUAUAUUUUUAAUUUAGAUCUAGUUUUUGGUUUAGAUAAUUAGUUUAGUUAUUUGAUGUUAUGUGGUUGCAACUAAAUAAUUAAUUUCAGUUGAUGGUGACAUUCAUGGCAAAUGGUGCAACUCUUCUUACUCUUUCUGCCCAUCCUUAUAUCUGGUCAAAUUUUUUCUGUAGAAAUCCCAAAGAUGAUAUUGAUCAUUGGUUCAAUCACUUUACAUUGAUUGCCAAUUAUUAUUUUUGAAAUGAUAUCUAAUAUUUACACAAGUUUUUCACAUAUCUCCAAGAGACAUUGUUGUAGUGGUACAAUGGUUUAAGUGUGGAACCUCCUCCCAAAUGUCUUCAAGCAUGCAUUUAGAAAUGUUGAUAAUUGUGAUGAUGCCUUCUAACAAUUGCAUCAUCUUUGUCAGGGACCGUUUAAGUCAGUUAUGCAAUUUAAUGUUUGAAUCUAAAGCCUCUUACUUCGUGUAGAGCUUAAGUAAAUAAAAAUCAGAAAUAUUUUCAAAAGAAAUAUAAAAUGAUUUGCUACACUUUAGAUGUACCAAUGCUUUGUUUGUUUAAUAGUAGUGCUUAUUAUUUAUUAAUCUAAUUGAUCAAUAGGAAGUUUAUAAUUUCUAAACACGAGAUUAAAUUUAUUACACAUUAACCAUUAAAUGUUCUAGCAUUAAAUGGUAGAAUAUCCUAGAGUAUUUAAAUAUAUUCUAAAUGUCUACUACCAAUUCUAAAUGGACAAUCUAUAUUAUCUCACUUAAGUAAGUGAUAAACCAAAUUUCCAUUACCUAAACAAACAUCCAUAAAUUUUUUAUUGAAAUCAUGCAAAUUGAACCUGCCUCAAGGCCUACAACUGGACAACCUGUGUGCCUUGGGCCAUUAUCACUUUAUUAUUAUAGAUAGAAUUGUAACAAAAAAAGUGUAAAGAAUAAAUAGAAAUUUCUAUGUUGUACAUAUUGAUUUUUUUCAAGUCAUCUACAUAUAGGAGGAGCUAGAACUAAGACAUAUCUCAUUUUAUAGCUAUUAAAUAUUAAAUUUAAUGCUUAAUCUAGAUUUAUACUUAUCAUUAUAUUCUAAAAUAUAUUACCCUAAACCGUAAAUAUCAAAUAAUAUUUAAGAUAUAACCCCUACUGAUUGUUUAACACCAUAUCAAUGUUUUUCAUAUCUUCAAUACAGUGCAUAAACAGCAAAGAAAUAUCUAACUUCCAACCAGUUUUCAGCUUCUGGACAUAUCACACUUAGAUCAUCACUGAAGUUGAACCCAAUUUUUGCUAUAAAAUGUCCAUAUUCCUAAACAUAAAUAUUUAGAUACUUAAAUAUAAAAAUAAAAAACUCACAAAGUAUGAUGAUGAAAAAUUGCCAAAUAAUCAUCCAAUCCAGCCAACCUUGAAUCUGUAGAAAAAAUAAAAUAACCUGACUCAGAAUACUUAAGGCUCAUCCCAAGUGCUAUACUUCUUAUAUGUUGAAGUUCAAAUUCAGUAGUUUUAAGAAUCCUAGCUGUUUGUAAAGCUUCCAGCACUUCCUAAAAAACAUAAAGAAUAAAAGUAAAAAAAUUUCAAAUGAUAUAAUAUAAUACCAUGAUAGGAAUGUUGUACAUUGAUUUCCUACUUUGGACAGUUUAGUCCCAGGGUCCUUUUGUAAAUGCCGCUCUGAAAGUACAAAAACAUUUUAGAUUAAAAGCUAAAAAUAUUUGCUUGCCGAGAAAGAUCCUAAACAUCGCCUGUGUUGCCCAUCUCAUCACGUUGUUAGCUAAGCAAUUUGGAUUUUCACAAAGCAUCAUUGUAAGGCCGCCACACUUGGUUUUUGAGCACGGAAUGUAUUUUGCGUUAGCAGCCAGCACAGCAGUGGAGAAUAAACAUUCUCCAGCCUUAGUCUGUGAAAGAACAGGAGUAAGCAUCACAGAAACGAUACUGAUUUACCUGAUAUUCUGGCAUGACAAGAAAAGUGAUUUACCUUAGAUUUUGGCUCGAGCAGCAUUGUGUCCUGAGAAUUGGUGACCUUGUCCAAUCUACCCCCACAAUCCUGUACAAAAAUGAAAUGGAAUUAAACGUCACGUGUAAUAAGGAAGAAUGAUUUACUUGCGACUUGAGCAACAUCAUCUCUGUUAUUCCCUCUGAAUGCAUUAUGUCACAUACGGCCGCGUCCUUGGCCACCCUGCCCUGGACACCAAGCUUGUCCCAAAGACGAUCGUCAAAGACUGCCUUGGCAGGGACAAGCUUGGUGCCAGCCACACACGGCAGCACGUCGCGUAGAGCAUCUUCAGCGAAAAAGAGGCCCAUCUUUCUAUUGAUGCCAAUACCGCGGAGAUCCACCACGACGCACUUUCUGAUCCCGAUCGCGUCCACAGCGUCCAGCUCCUUGACAGGAUCCUCUCCACGGUCAUGAGACGCCUGGACGAACUUCCUGGCCGACAGUGUCAUGGGCAUGCCCCGGAAGUCGUCGUAGUUGACGACCCAGUCCAGAGAGCCAUACUGCAAUGCCUUGGUGGGAACCGCCAGAAGGAUGUAGCCAGUGGAGACCCGAUUCUGCCAGAUGGAUUCCUUAUAGACAAGGACUUGUUUAGCAUCAAGCUCUCCUAAAGUUCCAUCGAUCACGAAUUCCGCCGGAGGACCCCGACACCGCAGGCCGAGCUCGAACGUGGAAAUGCAGCCCACGGCUUCGAUGCUCCUGAUCUGGCAUGGCUCCAGCGGCGUCAUUGAAGGCUCCAUUUCGUUGUCGUACAAGUAGGCUGGAAUGCUCCAAGGCGCUCCCCAGUAAAGGGCAUUUGCAUGUGUACGACGCUGCUUGGGGCAGAUGUUUCCAUGAGCGUAGCUCAGGUGAUCAAGCAACGUCGUGUCGGGGCAGCCGCAUGCAGUCAACUGCCGGUUGUAGCAGAUAUCGCAGAAGAGGAACAAGGAGGUGGUGGUGUUAUCAUAGACGAGCUUGAGAGGAGGAGCAGGAGCACGAGGCCGAGCUCGAACCCGAGCUCGAGUUUCCGCGAGCGUGCCACAUCCGCGGGCAACUCCUGUGCCCACAAGCUAAAUGUUAGCUGCGCUCUUGCGCUCUUCUACUCACUCACCUCCAAAAAGCCGCCGCCAGAACAUGCCGCCCAACCAGGAGCAAGAGUUUAUCUGCGAGUGUGCUGGGCAGAUCCACUUAUCCGCGAGUGUGCUAGGCAGAUCCACCGAUAGCUAUAGACACUUUUAGGGCAAGGUUCUUAGAAUAUUCCUUGAAACUCCAUUUUGCUUUCAUUCUUUUAAUGCUAUAUAAAAAGUUAAUCUUUAUAAUGAACAUUUAAUUUCUUUAGUGAGUCGAUGAUGCGGCAUCUCAAAUAUGUACUUAGAAUUAAAUAAUUCUUUCUAUCAAAGUUUUAGGAUCACCAACUUGAUCCGUUAGCCUCAUGUCAUAGGCACUCGUUUGUAGUAUUUAACAUCGGUUCUAGAGCUCCUUUUCCUAUCUUUCUAGGCUUCCAUAGUGUAGAGUUCUCUAUGGCUCACACUUUUCUCUUUGCUACUUCUCUCUUCGCUGUUCUUGCUAGCGCUGUUCUAGCUACCAACACCAACAACUCAUGUUUCCCAGGUAAGACUCUGCAAGCGAUUUUACAACCAGUCACAAGCUUUAUGUUUGCAAUCAAAACACAGGCGACGCCACCGUCCAAAUGUAUAACGGCGACCUCAAACUCAUGAGAGAUCUCGAAGUUGGAGACAAGGUAUUGUAUUGCUCUUAAGUUUUUCGAGAGCCCAGCUAAACGUGCCAGGUCUAAAGAUUGCAGUGAGCAAAAACGUGUUCUCCGAUGUCUACGCAUUCGGCCACAAGGACACCGAUGUGAUCUCCGAGUUCAUCCAGGUCCACACCGCCUCAGACAUGAUCGAGCUUAGCGAGGGCCACUUCAUCCCAGUCGACGCCAAGGGAAAGCUUGUGUACAAGCGAGCCAAGGAUCUCCAGGUUGGAGAAACUCUCUGGGGAUCAUCUCAAAUCACUGGUAACAUCAUACUUGUUUUGAGACUUUGCUCUUACUUUUGAUAAUUAUAGAACUUUCCAAGGUGGAGAAGCUGGAUCUCUACAACCCAUUCACUCUCUCCGGCAACAUCAUGGUUAACAACGUGGAGGCUUCCUCUCACAGCGAGUGGUUCCUGGACUCCCUCUUUGAUGCCAUUGGCGCAACUGAGUACCUCCCAUAUGCAUACCAGGCCGUGCUCGCUCCACUUCGUGCCAUCUACAACAUUGUCGGGAAGGAAAUCUAUGGAAAGGGUUAUGCUGCCGUCAAUUCUUGUGUCAACGUUGCUGAAUUUGGAA
RNAcentral lists this long non-coding RNA (22732 nucleotides) under Selaginella moellendorffii. Its description in RNAcentral is "long non-coding RNA (SMOE_LNC002195)". The record is from RNAcentral. Lineage: Eukaryota; Viridiplantae; Streptophyta; Lycopodiopsida; Selaginellales; Selaginellaceae.